This 315-nucleotide ribosomal RNA is filed under the name Triticum aestivum (bread wheat). Its description in RNAcentral is "partial small subunit ribosomal RNA". Lineage: Eukaryota; Viridiplantae; Streptophyta; Magnoliopsida; Poales; Poaceae. The record is from RNAcentral.
GAGGAGGGUGAGGGCAUUGUCGACGCGCCGAAAGGAAGAGCCGACAAUUACACCAACGACGAUGACAUCUUACUAUGCAAUACUUGGUUGCAAGUGUCGAGGGAUCCAUCCAUUGGAGGUGAUCAAAGUAGAGAUGCUUAUUGGGGGCGGAUGAAAGAACACUUUGAUAUUCACAACGUGAGUGGAAUUGACCGCUCCGAGAGAUCACUUCGGUCCCGAUGGUCGGCAAUCAACUCUGAUUGUCAAAGGUGGGUGGCCUGUCAAAGGCGGUUGACAAGUUUAACCCAAGUGGGACAAAUGAGGACGAUAGAGUAA